This 229-nucleotide long non-coding RNA is filed under the name Elaeis guineensis (African oil palm). Its description in RNAcentral is "long non-coding RNA (EGUI_LNC004968)". Lineage: Eukaryota; Viridiplantae; Streptophyta; Magnoliopsida; Arecales; Arecaceae. The record is from RNAcentral.
CCCCAACCAAUAUUAUAGCUUGUCUUCUUCUUCUGGCCCUUUGAAGCUCCCUAAGCAACAAGAACUGAGGACCGGUACCCUUCCCAAUGCCCUUUUACCAGCCCUCCCCUUUAUUUCCUGUGACAAAACCCAGGUUGGAACAGAGCAAAAUAAAGCACCCCACCACAGAAAACGGAGGCAAAGACAGUGAAGUAUCAUUAUUCACUGCCCCAUUCACAUUUCACCACCC